GAGACCGCAUUUGCCCCCGCCAGCACAGGCCUCCCGCCUUCGCUGCACCGCCGUCGCCGCAGGUGGACACGGCAACCAGUUCGCCAUGGAUGAUGAUAUUGCCGCGCUCGUGGUCGACAACGGGCUCCAGCAUGUGCAAGGCCAGCUUCGCAGGUGAUGAUGCUCCUUGGGCAGUCUUCCCCUCCAUCAUGGGGUGCCCCCAGCACCAGGGCGUGAUGGUGAGCAUGGGCCAGAAGGACUCCUAUGUGGAUGAUGAAGCCCAGAGCAAGAGAGGCAUGCUGACCCUCAAGUACCCCAUCAAGCAUGGCAUCGUCAUCACCUGGGAUGACAUGGAGAAGAUCUGGCAUCACACCUUCUACAAAGAGCUGUGUGUAGCUCCCAAGGAGCAUCCCAUGCUGCUAACUGAGGCCCCCCUGAACCCUCAAGGCCAACUGUGAGAAGAUGACCCAGAUCAUGUUUGAGACCUUCAACACCCCCACCGUAUACGUGACCAUCUAGGUUGUGCUGUCCCUGUAGGCCUCUGGCUGCAUCACCGGCAUCGUGAUGGACUCUGGUGACAGGGUCACCCACACGGUGCCCAUCUACGAGGGGUAUGCCCUCCCCCACGCCAUCCUGCGUCUGGACCUGGCUGGCCGGGACCUAAUGGGCUACCUCAUGAAGAUCCUCACGGAGCAUGGCUACCGCUUCACCACCACGGCAGAGCAGGAAAUCAUCCAUGACAUCAAGGAGAAGCUCUGAUACUUUGCCCUGGACUUUGAGCAGGAGAUGGCCACCGUGGCCUCCAGCUCCUCCCUGGAGAAGAGCUAGAGCUGCCAGACAGGCAGGUCAUCACCAUCAGCAGUGAGCGGUUCUGCUGCCCUGAGGCUCUCUUCCAGCCUUCCUUCCUGGGCCUGGAAUCCUGCGGCAUUCACGAAACUACCUUCAAUUCCAUCAUGAAGUGUGACGUCGACAUCCGCAAGGACCUCUACGCCAUCACCGUGCUAUCUGGCGGGACCACCAUGUACCCCGGCAUUGCGGACAGGGUGCAGAAAGAGAUCACUGCCCUGGCACCCAGCACGCUGAAGGUCAAGAUCAUCGCACCCCCUGAGCGCAAGUACUCCGUGUGGAUUGGCGGCUCCAUCCCGGCCUCUCUGUCCACUUUCCAGCAGAAGUGGAUCAGCAAGCAAGUAUAAGACGAGUCCAGCCCCUCCAUCGUCCACCGCAAAUGCUCCUAGGCGACUGUUAGUUGCCUUACACCCUUUUUCUUGACAAAACCUAACUUGCGCAGAAAACGAGAUGAGAUUGGCAUGGCUUUAUUUGUUUGUUUUUUGAUUUUUUUUUUUUUUUUGGUGCUUGACACAGGAUUUAAAAACUGGAACGGUGAAGGUGACAGCAGUCGGUUGGAUCGAGCAUCCCCAAAGUUCUACAAUGUGGCGGAGGACUUUGUACAUUUUUUUUUUUUUUUGUACUUUUUUUUUUUAAAUGGUCAUUCCAAAUAUCCUGAGAUGCAUUGUUACAGGAAGUCUUUUGCCU
RNA transcript from Cervus elaphus (red deer), 1512 nucleotides. It is a transcript of the gene named actin, cytoplasmic 1-like, with no coding region annotated. NCBI's taxonomy places the organism in Eukaryota, Metazoa, Chordata, Mammalia, Artiodactyla, Cervidae. The transcript has a single exon. The record is from RefSeq and is a predicted model, not a curated record.